Molecule: long non-coding RNA, 1016 nt
Organism: Raphanus sativus (radish)
Lineage: Eukaryota; Viridiplantae; Streptophyta; Magnoliopsida; Brassicales; Brassicaceae
Exons: 4
Source: RefSeq, a predicted model, not a curated record
AGGUGAGUCUAUGGCAUGACACGUGUGACUUUAAAUGAAACGAUGCACAGGGAGUAUUGUGCAGAGUAUUGGGCUGAGUAUUGCGUUUGUUAAUCGAGGCCCAUGAUGUCCCAACCCUAAUCAUUCGAGAAACCUGUACGUCGUCUUCUUCGAAUCCUUUGAACGGCAAUCUUUGGUGCAAGUCGUCAUCUGCGUCGAUUCGUUUACAGUUUUCUCAUAUGCUUCUGAAGAUCGGCACCGUUACACAACUCCAUUGCAUUAAGUUACAGUCAUUAAAGUUCUAAUUAACUCUAUAUCUCCCACUCCUUCCAUGAUUUCACAAUCAAUACAUCACAUCCUUCCAGUCGGUGAAUCUGCAGAUAUAUAUAGGUUUUGGGAAGCGGUAGCGAUCUCAGUGGUCUCGACAAGCUAAGAAUGCUCUGGUGAAUUUGUGUGGAUGGGAAAUGCGAAAGAAAAAAUUGUAGCAGCAACGAUGCAUCUUCUGUCCCUGGAGAUCAAUGAGGCUGGGAACAAGGAGCUUUACGAAGCAAAAUUUUUGGUGAAGCCAUGGUUGAACUUCAAGGAGUUGCAGGACUAAGCUUGCUGUUGAUGAUGCCGCUACCAUUAGUCCCUCUGAUCUUGGCUGCAAAAAGAUAACAAUGCAUAUGGAUGGAGGGAAGUUUCAAGAGAUGAUCUAGAAGUGCAACACGUUUCCGGAUUAUGCCGUCAAGACCAUCCAAGAGAUAUAUGGCACAGUAAGUUUAUAAGAAAGUCUAAGAAUCUAUAUCUAAAGACGAUGCUUCUGCAACACACAAAAGAUGUAAUCAAACUGAUCGUGCCAUAUACGAAACUUUCGCUGAGAAUCUGACCAGCUAGGCAACGUGCUAUUGAAGAAGUUAUGAUCAAAUCUGAAAGUUUCAAGCUUUACCAUUGUAAAAAGCUUGGGUGGUACUGAUCCAAACAGAAACUUAUUACUCAAAUCCAAUUACUCGAGUGAAGUUAACCUAUGAAGUUUCACAGUGAUGUUAUUCCAAAUC